This is a long non-coding RNA of Rhagoletis pomonella (apple maggot), 438 nucleotides long. RefSeq lists it as uncharacterized. The record is from RefSeq and is a predicted model, not a curated record. The transcript has 3 exons. Lineage: Eukaryota; Metazoa; Arthropoda; Insecta; Diptera; Tephritidae.
UCGCUGGUCAAAAGUGGGUGUUACAUGUGUACACCAGUGAUGGACGAUAGUUAGAAAAUUAAGCAAAAAACGGUAGCAGAGCACAUAGCUGGAGAUGCGAGGCAGAACUGCAAGCAGCGUGCGGUGCUGGGCCAAGGUGUGGUGGUAAUUUAUGAGUGGCCAAAUAUGCAUUUGUGUAUGAUUGCAGAAAAAUUCAACAUAUUCUUGCCUGCAUUUGGUUUGUGUCGGGGAUGGUCUUAGCUGUAUCCACUGGAGAAUUUUAACUUCUCAUCCCACCGACUGAAUCGUCGCGGACAUGACAGUGGCAAUGUUGUCGGAGCAGAGAGGAGCACCCAACCUCAUUCUCGCAUCUUCGUACAUGCCAUACGAUGUACACGAACCACCGUGAAUAUCCUUCAGGAAACUCACCACCUGGACGGAGCAAAGGCAUAAGUAUGU